AAGGCUACUUACAACCAUCGCGAACUCGUCCAAGUUGCUUCGGCGGCGCGGGGCCCCUCACGGGGCGCCGCAGCCCGGCCUCUCCAGAGGCGCGGGGCAACCGCCGGAGGUACAAAACCCUUCUAUAUUAUAGUGGAACUCUGAUUCAACAAACAAAUAAGUUAAAACUUUCAACAACGGAUCUCUUGGUUCUGGCAUCGAUGAAGAACGCAGCGAAAUGCGAUAAGUAAUGUGAAUUGCAGAAUUCAGUGAAUCAUCGAAUCUUUGAACGCACAUUGCGCCCGCUAGUACUCUAGCGGGCAUGCCUGUUCGAGCGUCAUUUCAACCCUCAAGCCCUGCUUGGUGUUGGGGCCCUACGGCUGCCGUAGGCCCUGAAAAGAAGUGGCGGGCUCGCUACAACUCCGAGCGUAGUAAUCUUUUAUCUCGCUAGGGAAGUGUGGCGUGCUCCUGCCGUUAAAGACCCCAUCUUUAACCAAGGUUGACCUCGGAUCAGGUAGGAAUACCCGCUGAACUUAAGCAUAUCAAUAAGCGGAGGAA
Molecule: ribosomal RNA, 537 nt
Filed under: Coniochaetaceae sp. SC6F5-1
Lineage: Eukaryota; Fungi; Ascomycota; Sordariomycetes; Coniochaetales; Coniochaetaceae
Description: eukaryotic LSU rRNA
Rfam family: 5.8S ribosomal RNA (bases 166-319)
Source: RNAcentral